UAGAAAGAAGCUCGUAGGUUUGAGCGUUUAGCUGUUAACUAAAAUGUUAUGGGAUCGAAGCCCAUCUUUCUAG
This 73-nucleotide transfer RNA is filed under the name Leptopelis vermiculatus (vermiculated tree frog). RNAcentral describes it as "tRNA-Asn". It matches the Rfam family "tRNA". Rfam says of the family: Transfer RNA (tRNA) molecules are approximately 80 nucleotides in length. Their secondary structure includes four short double-helical elements and three loops (D, anti-codon, and T loops). The record is from RNAcentral. Lineage: Eukaryota; Metazoa; Chordata; Amphibia; Anura; Arthroleptidae.